CUGAGAUGUGGGUAAGAGGAACUGUUAGGAACUGUUGUCAGGACCAGACCUAGCCCUCAAUUAUGUGUUUCCUGCAGGAAUACCGUGCUGAGCCUUUGCCUUGAGAAUGCAGAGCUGAAAGAGCAGAUGGGAGAAGCAAUGUCUGAUGGAUGGGAGAUCGAGGAAGACAAGGAGAAGAGCGAGGUGAAUCCUUGGUGAAGCAGGACAGCAAGCAGGUCCAGGUGAACCUCCAGGACCUGGGCUAUGAGACUUGUGGCUGAAGCGAGAAUCAGGCUGAACAGGAGGAAACCACCAGUCCUGAGUGUGAG
RNAcentral lists this long non-coding RNA (308 nucleotides) under Pan troglodytes (chimpanzee). RNAcentral's name for it is "long non-coding RNA NONPTRT008807". Lineage: Eukaryota; Metazoa; Chordata; Mammalia; Primates; Hominidae. The record is from RNAcentral.